CAGGGAUUAUGAAGAGGAGGUGAAAAUGGUCCCACUAAGGACAACAAUCAGCACCCCGCUAUGAGAAGGAGGGAGGAAGGAGGAGCCACGAGUCUUCUGGGAGAGCAGACUCCUAUGAGGCGCAAGUCUCCUGGCCCCUCUUGCCACAAGCCAGGCCAAGAAGAGACUCCAAGAGGACAAUUCACAGAGACUGGGGAGAGAAUGGCGCUCCAUUUCCUGAUUCAAGGCAUCCAUGCAUGUGCGAAUCUAGUGGUCACAGCAUAGAAUCAUCCCUGGAUACCAUGGAGAGAGACAGAAGGAAGGAGUAUUGAUGCAAUUGAUGCACUGCACCUAGGAAAUGUUAGGCCUUAUAGGGAGACAUAUUUCUUCCUCUAAGAGAACCAUCUGCUGGAAC
Molecule: long non-coding RNA, 394 nt
Filed under: Homo sapiens (human)
Lineage: Eukaryota; Metazoa; Chordata; Mammalia; Primates; Hominidae
Description: HSALNT0033969
Source: RNAcentral